GUUGGGACUCACCUACAGUGAACUCUCAGAUCAUCAAGAGUAUGUUUGAUAUUUGUAAAAAGAAUUAAUUAUAAUGAAACAUUGAACAGUACUGGUAAAAAAAAAAUCACAUUUUAAAAACUCCUUUUAUAGAUGUGAAAGAUGCAUGGGAGGGGAAACGUAUGCGUGUACUUGAAUCGAGGAUUGGGCCCUUAAAAAUAUUGUAUAAAGACAUUUUCUCCACUGCACCAAAGAGACCAGUAACAGAUGAGGUGAGGUGUCAAUUUCCUAUUUUUUUUAAAAUGGUUUUCCUACCGACUUUUCAGUUAAAUCUUACCUUUUCGACCUUACCAAUCGAUUUUAAUCUGGUGUUUUUAUGACAGGUAAACGCAUAUCUGACCCUCCUGGUCAAAGAAUUUAAUAAGGAUGGUCCAGAGAAGGCAUUUCCACUGGACUCGGUGAGGAUGAAGACUAUAUGGCAGCACAAAAGUCCAACAAAAACUCAGAUCGACCUGGAGGUCUUCAAGUACAUUGUGGGGGUCUACAAUGAAGGUCAUCACUGGAUGCUCGUGGUAAUAGUUUCUUCAACUUGAUGGUCAUCUUCUAAGCAGCACAUGCAGUCUGCACAGUGCUGCUGGAAACCUACACAGCUGCUAGUGCAGUAUGAUUAACUUUGACUCUAAAAUAUGUAGGUGAUUAAACCAGGAGAGAGGAGAACCCUGUUCAUGGAUCCACUGGGGGAACAUGGAGAAGAUGCAGCACUGCAAGAACGUGACGAGUUUGCUGAGUGCAUUUUGGACGGUUCUCCGCUGGAGUUUCAUGAAUCACCUUCCAGCUUUAAUGCGAUUCGACGGGAGAUUGCAGUCUGUCUUCUGGAGAAUACAGGUGUCUCUUAAAAAUAUUAUACAUAUGUUGCGUGUGGCCAUGACAUCACUCACUUACUCAUUCAAUCACUGUGCUGUGCCUGAACUGGCACUGGUGUCCUCUUAUGUUGAGGUCUCCAAUUUGAGCCACUGAUUCAUUAAUUUAAUUGUUUGGAGGCUGUAACAACAUAUCAUUUUAGACUGGAAACGUGUUUGAUGUACAUAUUUUCAAAACUGUCCAAAUGCUCAAAUUAACUAUGAUAGUGUUAACUCACACAAACCUUGCUCAUUAUGAGGUAAUUAUUAUCUCCUUGUUUUUGUAGAUGACUUGACUGACCUUUGUCAUCUCUGCAGGAUGGCGACACUCACUGAGUAACUGCUGAUGUUUUACAUGUUCAGCUUAAAGGAUGAUCACCACAAGGCAACAUUACAUCACUAUCUCACCAUAAUAGUUUAGUUUUGUCUUUUGUCCAUUCAGAUUGGCUGCUGUGCCCUCGAUGGUUUCACAGGAGCUGUGCCAAGAGACCCGACACAGAGGAUGCAAAAAUGUUUCUGCCUCGCAUGCCA
RNAcentral lists this long non-coding RNA (1409 nucleotides) under Sparus aurata (gilthead seabream). RNAcentral describes it as "lncRNA (ENSSAUG00010005203.1)". Lineage: Eukaryota; Metazoa; Chordata; Actinopteri; Spariformes; Sparidae. The record is from RNAcentral.